Molecule: transfer RNA, 85 nt
Filed under: Hoylesella enoeca
Lineage: Bacteria; Pseudomonadati; Bacteroidota; Bacteroidia; Bacteroidales; Prevotellaceae
Also listed under: 1 other name
Description: Prevotella enoeca tRNA-Leu
Rfam family: tRNA
About the family: Transfer RNA (tRNA) molecules are approximately 80 nucleotides in length. Their secondary structure includes four short double-helical elements and three loops (D, anti-codon, and T loops).
Source: RNAcentral
GCCCAGGUGGCGGAAUUGGUAGACGCGCACGUUUCAGGUGCGUGUGUUUAACAGCGUGCAGGUUCGAGUCCUGUUCUGGGCACUA